CGAGAAAGGGGCUUCGGCCCUGAGUACAGCGGCGCACGGGUGAGUAACACGUGGGUAAUCUGCCCUAGAGUGGGGAAUAACACCGGGAAACCGGUGCUAAUACCGCAUACGAUCAUGAGGUCUUCGGAUUUUGUGAUGAAAGGAGCAAUUCGCUCUUGGAGGAGCCCGCGGCUGAUUAGCUAGUUGGUAAGGUAAUGGCUUACCAAGGCAACGAUCAGUGGCCGGUCUGAGAGGACGGUCGGCCACACUGGAACUGAGACACGGUCCAGACUCCUACGGGAGGCAGCAGUGGGGAAUCUUGCACAAUGGGCGAAAGCCUGAUGCAGCGACGCCGCGUGAGCGAUGAAGCCCUUCGGGGUGUAAAGCUCUUUCGACGGGAACGAUAAUGACGGUACCCGGAGAAGAAGCUGCGGCUAACUACGUGCCAGCAGCCGCGGUAAUACGUAGGCAGCGAGCGUUGUUCGGAAUUACUGGGCGUAAAGAGUGUGUAGGCGGUGUUCCCAGUCUGUUGUGAAAUCUCCCGGCUUAACUGGGAGGGUGCAGCGGAAACUAGAAUGCUAGAGGGUGGGAGAGGUAAGCGGAAUUCCUGGUGUAGCGGUGAAAUGCGUAGAUAUCAGGAGGAACACCUGUGGUGUAGACAGCUUACUGGACCACUUCUGACGCUGAGACACGAAAGCGUGGGUAGCAAACAGGAUUAGAUACCCUGGUAGUCCACGCCCUAACGAUGCAUACUUGGUGUGAGCGAUUCAUUUCGUUCGUGCCGGAGCUAACGCGUUAAGUAUGC
Molecule: ribosomal RNA, 784 nt
Filed under: uncultured bacterium
Lineage: Bacteria
Description: bacterial SSU rRNA
Rfam family: Bacterial small subunit ribosomal RNA
Source: RNAcentral